This 24-nucleotide non-coding RNA is filed under the name Cricetulus griseus (Chinese hamster). Lineage: Eukaryota; Metazoa; Chordata; Mammalia; Rodentia; Cricetidae. The record is from RNAcentral.
UAGUGAGUUAUCUCAAUUGAUUGU